GGUUUAGUCCGCAACGAGCGCAACCCCUACUGCCAGUUACUAACAGGUGAAGCUGAGGACUCUGGCGGAACUGCCGGUGACAAACCGGAGGAAGGUGGGGAUGACGUCAAGUCAUCAUGGCCCUUAUGUCCAGGGCUACACACGUGCUACAAUGGUCGGUACAAAGCGAAGCGGAACCGUGAGGGUAGAGCAAAGCGCAAAAAGCCGAUCGUAGUUCGGAUUGAAGUCUGAAACCCGACUUCAUGAAGUUGGAAUCGCUAGUAAUCGUACAUCAGCAUGGUACGGUGAAUACGUUCCCGGGCCUUGUACACACCGCCCGUCACACCAUCCGAGUUGGAGGUACCCGAAGCUGGUAGGCUAACCGAAAGGGGGCCGCUAUCUAAGGUACGUUUAGUGAGGAGGGUGAAGUCGUAACAAGGUAGCCGUACUGGAAAGUGCGGCUGGAUCACCUCCUUUCU
This 458-nucleotide ribosomal RNA is filed under the name uncultured bacterial symbiont of Hodotermes mossambicus Hm3. RNAcentral's name for it is "bacterial SSU rRNA". It matches the Rfam family "Bacterial small subunit ribosomal RNA", at positions 1078 to 1533 of the family's 1533-position model. The record is from RNAcentral. RNAcentral also lists the same sequence under 1 other name.